RNAcentral lists this ribosomal RNA (764 nucleotides) under uncultured bacterium. RNAcentral describes it as "bacterial SSU rRNA". It matches the Rfam family "Bacterial small subunit ribosomal RNA", at positions 10 to 767 of the family's 1533-position model. The record is from RNAcentral.
AGUUUGAUCAUGGCUCAGGACGAACGCUGGCGGCAGGCUUAACACAUGCAAGUCGCACGAGAACGUUUUGGCUUUGCCAAGACAAGUACAGUGGCGGACGGGUGAGUAGCGCGUAGAUAACCUGCCUUCAGGCGCGGGACAACCUCGGGAAACCGUGGCUAAUACCGCACGCCGUCUAGCUCCCGCAUGGGGGCUAGAUGAAAGCCUUAUGGUGCCUGAAGAUGGGUCUGCGUCGGAUUAGCUUGUUGGUGAGGUAACGGCUCACCAAGGUAACGAUCCGUAGCUGGUCUGAGAGGAUGAUCAGCCACACUGGGACUGAGACACGGCCCAGACUCCUACGGGAGGCAGCAGUGGGGAAUCUUGCACAAUGGGGGAAACCCUGAUGCAGCCAUGCCGCGUGGAGGAAGACACCCCUAUGGGGCGUAAACUCCUUUUCUGCGCGAAGAAACCCUCGUUUUUCGGGGUGUGACGGUACCGCAGGAAUAAGGACCGGCUAACUCCGUGCCAGCAGCCGCGGUAAUACGGAGGGUCCAAGCGUUGUCCGGAAUCACUGGGCGUAAAGGGUGUGCAGGUGGGGCAGCAAGUCAGAGGUGAAAGCCCGCGGCUUAACCGCGGAAGUGCCUUUGAAACUGCUGCUCUUGAGUCCCGGAGAGGUUGUCGGAAUUCGUGGUGUAGCGGUGAAAUGCGUAGAUAUCACGAGGAACACCAGAGGCGAAAGCGGGCAACUGGACGGGUACUGACACUGAGGCACGAAAGCGUGGGGA